Molecule: ribosomal RNA, 439 nt
Filed under: uncultured bacterium
Lineage: Bacteria
Description: partial 16S ribosomal RNA
Rfam family: Bacterial small subunit ribosomal RNA
Source: RNAcentral
CUACGGGUGGCACCAGUGGGGGAUAUUGCACAAUGGGCGAAAGCCUGAUGCAGCAACGCCGCGUGAAGGAAGACGGAUUUCGGUCUGUAAACUUCUAUCAGCUGGGAAGAAAAUGACGGUACCAGACUAAGAAGCCCCGGCUAACUACGUGCCAGCAGCCGCGGUAAUACGUAGGGGGCAAGCGUUAUCCGGAUUUACUGGGUGUAAAGGGUACGUAGGCGGUCGCUUAAGUCAGAUGUGAAAGCCCGAAGCUCAACUUCGGGACUGCAUUUGAAACUGGGUGACUAGAGUACAGGAGAGGAAAGCGGAAUUCCUAGUGUAGCGGUGAAAUGCGUAGAUAUUAGGAAGAACACCAGUGGCGAAGGCGGCUUUCUGGACUGUAACUGACGCUGAGGUACGAAAGCGUGGGGAGCGAACAGGAUUAGAUACCCUCGUAGUC